Molecule: transfer RNA, 88 nt
Filed under: Methylocaldum szegediense
Lineage: Bacteria; Pseudomonadati; Pseudomonadota; Gammaproteobacteria; Methylococcales; Methylococcaceae
Description: tRNA-Leu
Rfam family: tRNA
About the family: Transfer RNA (tRNA) molecules are approximately 80 nucleotides in length.
Source: RNAcentral
GCCUCGGUGGUGGAAUAGGUAGACACACAGGACUUAAAAUCCUGCGCCCUAACACGGCGUGCCGGUUCGAUUCCGGCCCGAGGCACCA